Long non-coding RNA from Gossypium arboreum, 447 nucleotides. RefSeq lists it as uncharacterized. The record is from RefSeq and is a predicted model, not a curated record. The transcript is spliced from 2 exons. Lineage: Eukaryota; Viridiplantae; Streptophyta; Magnoliopsida; Malvales; Malvaceae.
CUCAUGCAAUUAAGAGUGUUGAGCUCAAGGUGAUGGUAAGCCGAGAAGUAUUGUAAAGAUCAACUUUGUUGAAGGUCUUCCAUUUGUUGAAGCUGAUCUCCAUGCAGUUGGUAUGAAGCAAGUGCAGCUGGAAGGUGGCCAUGCAAGCUCGUGACAAGCAUGCAGCAACCUUGGUUUUGUGUUGCUGUUGGAUUUGAACUAAUAUUUUGUUCAUUUUGAAGUCUAGUUUGCUAUAAGCUUUUUGAUUGAUGUAAUUUGAUGUUGAUGGAGUCAUUAACCACUUUGUGUUAAUGUACAAGUUAAGUUUUUGUUAUUUGAAAAGCUUAGUGGAAGUAGGUAUAUGUUUAGGUAGAAAUUUGACUUGUAAGUUUUUUUUUUAUUCUGAUAUAUGUAAUGGCAACAUGCCAAUGGUGAUGUAUGAAUGAAAUACACUUCAUUUUUCAUCAA